UGUCACCGUCUGUCUGUGUGUCUUUGUUUGAGGAGGGGUCUACAUGUGCAGAAAUGGCCUAUUUAUUGCCUUUGGGGGGUUUGACUGGAUUCUUGUCUAUUGGUAACAACUGUAUUCACCCUCUAAUAUAGGAUUUGAAAGAGAAUGGCCACAAUGCUUUUCUUUUUUCUAAACCCUUAAAAUUCUAAAGCAGAACCAGCAGUAAGGGUCAGGCAGUGGGAGUUAAGUGACUUGCCUGGGUCACACAGCUAGGAAGUGUCUGAGGUCAGAAUGGAACCCAGGACCUCCCAUCUGCAGACCUCAUGCUUUCCUCCCUGAGCCACCUAGAUGCCCCUUUGUGGCUCUGUGAAGGUGAAACCAGGUACUUACUGACCCUGAAAGAGACAUCUGGGGUGGAAUUGGGGAAAGUGUUUUUGAUCCCACUCGACCCACAAAUGUUAACUUCUGUCGGUUAGGUUGAUGUUUGCAAAGGCAGACAGUUUGUGGCUUCUAGGCCUUGGGGGGCUGCCAAAUGUUUUCCUCCGGACAAUCUCUGAUUCCUUCAAUGAGCACGUGUUGGAGGAUUCCUUUGGGCAAGGGCCUUGUUACCCAGAUCUCCUCUGCCAGAGCUAACUUAGAGUAGCCAGUGUGCAUUGGGAGUUGGCACACACUGCCCGCCUCUCUCCAAGACUGGGCAUCGCCCUUCUGCACGCAAUCCUGGGCUCGCUUUGAGUAUAAAAAGCACCCCUAGAAGGAGUGCUGCAUUGGGCCAAGGGCUGUCUUAUUCAGGGGAGUGGGGGUCUGUAAGGGGCCUUAAAACAGCACUUACUGAUGCCUGCAGUGUUCUGAGGCUGAUCAGUGCACAUUUAUGAAGCUCUUCCUGGGUGCCAGCCACUGUGCUAAGCUCUGGAAUACCAGUAAGCAAAAGGCAGGCUAGCACUGGCCUCGGGCUUAAAUUGAAUGGGUAAGACCAUACACGAGCAGAGGCUGACCAGGGCAUGCCAGCGGGCACCUGGCCCAGGGGCAGGACCGAGCAGGUCUGCUGAUGGGAAGUGGAACGGGCUGGGCAAUUCAAGCCCUCUCCAGAGGGAGACUUGGGGGGCAUUCGCUGCUGUGCCUCUGAUGACCCGAGUAGUGCAGAUCGCCACAGCGAGUGGGGCCCCAUUGGGCGAAGGUGACCAGGGAGUGGGCGAGCAGGCUUCCUUCGGUGUCCGGCCCUCUUCCCUCUGCCCCUCCCCUCCCCGCCCCCCGUUGGUCCCCUUGCC
Non-coding RNA from Monodelphis domestica (gray short-tailed opossum), 1244 nucleotides. The record is from RefSeq and is a predicted model, not a curated record. Lineage: Eukaryota; Metazoa; Chordata; Mammalia; Didelphimorphia; Didelphidae.